GAUGAACGCUGGCGGCGUGCCUAAUACAUGCAAGUCUAGCGAACGGACGAGAAGCUUGCUUCUCUGAUGUUAGCGGCGGACGGGUGAGUAACACGUGGAUAACCUACCUAUAAGACUGGGAUAGCUUCGGGAAACCGGAGCUAAUACCGGAUAAUAUUUUGAACCGCAUGGUUCAAAAGUGAAAGACGGUCUUGCUGUCACUUAUAGAUGGAUCCGCGCUGCAUUAGCUAGUUGGUAAGGUAACGGCUUACCAAGGCAACGAUGCAUAGCCGACCUGAGAGGGUGAUCGGCCACACUGGAACUGAGACACGGUCCAGACUCCUACGGGAGGCAGCAGUAGGGAAUCUUCCGCAAUGGGCGAAAGCCUGACGGAGCAACGCCGCGUGAGUGAUGAAGGUCUUCGGAUCGUAAAACUCUGUUAUUAGGGAAGAACAUAUGUGUAAGUAACUGUGCACAUCUUGACGGCACCUAAUCAGAAAGCCACGGCUAACUACGUG
RNAcentral lists this ribosomal RNA (497 nucleotides) under uncultured bacterium. RNAcentral describes it as "partial 16S ribosomal RNA". It matches the Rfam family "Bacterial small subunit ribosomal RNA", at positions 28 to 507 of the family's 1533-position model. The record is from RNAcentral.